This 526-nucleotide ribosomal RNA is filed under the name uncultured prokaryote. RNAcentral's name for it is "bacterial SSU rRNA". It matches the Rfam family "Bacterial small subunit ribosomal RNA", at positions 388 to 905 of the family's 1533-position model. The record is from RNAcentral.
AUUGCAAAGUUCCUAGAUUCGAAAGAAGGCCUUCGGAUUGUAAACUGCUUUUGUACGGAACGAAACGGCGAGCUCUAAUACAGUUUGCUAAUGACGGUACCGUAAGAAUAAGCACCGGCUAACUACGUGCCAGCAGCCGCGGUAAUACGUAGGGUGCAAGCGUUAAUCGGAAUUACUGGGCGUAAAGCGUGCGCAGGCGGUUUUGUAAGACAGUCGUGAAAUCCCCGGGCUCAACCUGGGAAUUGCGAUUGUGACUGCAAAGCUGGAGUGCGGCAGAGGGGGAUGGAAUUCCGCGUGUAGCAGUGAAAUGCGUAGAUAUGCGGAGGAACACCGAUGGCGAAGGCAAUCCCCUGGGCCUGCACUGACGCUCAUGCACGAAAGCGUGGGGAGCAAACAGGAUUAGAUACCCUGGUAGUCCACGCCCUAAACGAUGUCAACUGGUUGUUGGGUCUCUUCUGACUCAGUAACGAAGCUAACGCGUGAAGUUGACCGCCUGGGGAGUACGGCCGCAAGGUUGAAACUCAAA